GCACGGAGAGCCGCGUGACAUACGGUGCCUGGGGACUGCCUCGGCUGCAAAUGAUGGCUCCUAGAGUUUUUUUGCAAUCUGUUUGUGUUUUGGGUCGUUUGGGCCAUGUUUAUAAAUGGGUACUUAGGUUUAGGUCUGCUUUUGUUGGGUCUUAGUUUCUAGUGGUUUGGGCCGAGCAAAUUUUGGGCCCUACAGUCAUUAUAACCCUUUCCCUAGUGGACAUUUUUAAUAACAUUCAUUCUU
RNAcentral lists this long non-coding RNA (243 nucleotides) under Gossypium barbadense (sea-island cotton). RNAcentral describes it as "long non-coding RNA (GBAR_LNC002919)". The record is from RNAcentral. Lineage: Eukaryota; Viridiplantae; Streptophyta; Magnoliopsida; Malvales; Malvaceae.